ACGGAAGGACAGGCGGGCGCUGAGGAGGAAGAAGAAAAGAGCCGCUGAGGAGGAGCUCGUGAGGGCCGCUGCUUCGCCGCUCCCGUCGUCGUCAUGUCCCGCUUGGGAGCCACCCUGCUGCGGGCGGCGGGCCCAAGGGCGCGUUUCCUGGAGGGCCCAGGCCUCUUUCAGCGAUGGAAGGCUCCCUCAGAUGGACAACCUUGCAGACAAAUGGCCACCUCCAGCUUUGCAUGGCGGCAUAACAAAACUCUCUAUACUGUCAUAGCAAUUGGCCUCUUUGGAGUCGGAAAUGCGUUUUAUGGAUAUGAAAUUAUGAGAAGGGCUCGACAGCGCGAUGUGGAUCGUGCAGAGAGGUUCGAACGCAUGGAGGCCCAGAUGAAGAAACUUAAGUAUUAAGGAGUUUGACAGCAUCAGAAUUAAUAUCAACUAAAGCUACAGCCAAUUACUCAUCUCCCCCUGUUCUUCAAAGUGGUAAAUAAUUAAAUUAAUAUGGGGAAUGUAACUCCAGAAUACAGAAACAGCCGUGAAGAUCAGUUGAGCACUGCAGUCAAGGAUUUGGUGGCAGUCUCCUUACUUUAAACACAAAACUUUUCACAAUGACACAAUUAUAUGUAGAAGCAGUGUCAAAUAAUAAAAACAUGUGGAAAGAAUAUAGAA
Ahaetulla prasina is the source of this 657-nucleotide long non-coding RNA. RefSeq lists it as uncharacterized. Lineage: Eukaryota; Metazoa; Chordata; Lepidosauria; Squamata; Colubridae. The record is from RefSeq and is a predicted model, not a curated record. The transcript has 4 exons.